This is a long non-coding RNA of Microtus ochrogaster (prairie vole), 630 nucleotides long. RefSeq lists it as uncharacterized. NCBI's taxonomy places the organism in Eukaryota, Metazoa, Chordata, Mammalia, Rodentia, Cricetidae. The record is from RefSeq and is a predicted model, not a curated record.
UGCCCGUUAUCUUCCAGAACAACUUCAGGCUUCUUGGGGUGGGGAUUGAGUCAUAUUUCCUCAGUGCCUCCACAGUGUCUCAGACGGAGGAAUCAUUGAGAGCUGCUUUAAACCGAGAACAGCGGCUGUACGACACUCCUAAACACACAGCCGGAUUGCCCACUCCGCCAGCGGGCACUCCUGCUGGAAGGGCCCCAGCUGUGAGCUCAGCAACUUUGCUAUUUUCCAUAACCUUCGUUCUGAUGCCCCGCAUCACUCUGGAUCAUGGGCUAAAAUUUCUGAAGCCAGAGCAAUGGAAACCUUUUCUCUCUGGAAGCUGAUUGCCUCGGGCAUUGGUUACGAAAUGUCUGAAAUUUUCUCUGGCAGCCUGAUCCUCAGCAAAUUACUGGAAGAAGAGAAUGUUCUCAAAUGCAGACCGAUGAAGGCAAAAGUGUUCAGAAUUAGAAUUAGCACCUAGGAACAGGACAACACGUAUUUGCAGAAACGCACAAACAGUCCAGACCAGACCACCCUGAACAAGCCUGAUCUCUUCAGGGUCUGGAGCGAGUCUCUGCAGGGACGGAGCAGCCAAUUGUGUGGAGAUGCAGCACCUGUGGCAGCCGCUGCCGUCACAUUAGGACAAAGCGCUAA